UACCUAGUGUAUAGUGGAAACAUAGAUAGAUAACUACUGAAAAGAUGGUUCAGUAGGUAGAAUUGAUGAAUAGUCAGGAAAAGUAGUUAUCAUCUUUAGUAUAGGAGUUGGUAUCUCGGGGUAGUAUAAGGAGGAUGGAAGAAGGGAAGAAAAUGCCAUUGCUGUGAUAGUUGUGAGCCAGAGUAAGCUUGGUGCUACCUCUUUUCUUUUGUUUGUUAUUUUCUUUGAAUAAGAGGAUUGAAAGUUUCUGAAUAUUGUGAAGUGAAUUAUGGAAUAGAAAUGUGAUUGGUAUUAUUUGAGAAGAAGAAAGAUUGAAUGCUAAAAUCUGAUUAUAAUUCAGAAGAGAAAAUGAGUCUCUAUUUGUGUGAAACACCAUAAUAUGAAUGGUAGUUCUGUGUGAAGAAUUCUAGUGAUUGAAAUGAGGAUAAUUAUGUGCUGAAAGCUGUGAGGGUGCAGUAUUACAAUUAGAGAUUAUGAAGGUGAAUAUAUUGGUGGAAAUAGUAGUUAUUGAUAUGACUGAAUUGCUAUAAGGAAGAGACUGAUAAGGUGAAGGAGGAGAUUAUAGUUUCCUUAUGUGUUCAGAUAUUAGAAAUAGAGACGAUACAUUCAGGAGAUAAUUGAUUGUGUGACCCUAAUGUGAACGCUUAAGCAACUAGUUAUUUCCCAUGUUUGAAUCUCCCUAUAUGGAUUUAUUUCUAUUAGAUUAAUUUGGAAUAAGUAAAAUGAGCAAUCACACGAGUAUUGUUUGGACUUUUUCUAUUUCUUUUCUUGGCCUUGUAGUAAUUUCGACCAAAGUGACUUGGUUUUCCACAAAUGAAGUAAGUUCUCACAUUUCAACGAUGGUUAGGAUGACUCUCCUUGCCUUGCCUUGAAAAGAGAGCCGAAUCCUCACUUUGGGGCUCUUUUUCUUUUCUCUUGGUCACUUCAUGGACAAGUCUUGCCGUCACAUAAUCCAUUGUGAGUUCUUUUACUUUGAUGCAUUCCAAUGCCACAAUGAGGUAGUUAUAGGACUCGGGAAGGUUCAUAAGCAAGGUCAUGAUAAUAUUACUCUCUUCUAAAUGCUUGUCAACAAUUGCAAGUUGUUGAAUAAGAGCCUUUACCUUGUUGAUAUGAGCCUUUCACUCACAAAAUUUACUUUCUCACCACAUA
This 1149-nucleotide long non-coding RNA is filed under the name Physcomitrium patens. RNAcentral's name for it is "long non-coding RNA (PPAT_LNC004803)". Lineage: Eukaryota; Viridiplantae; Streptophyta; Bryopsida; Funariales; Funariaceae. The record is from RNAcentral.